GACGUAGGGCGCGAGCGUUGUCCGGAUUUAUUGGGCGUAAAGAGCUCGUAGGCGGCUUGUUGCGUCGACUGUGAAAACCCGCGGCUUAACUGCGGGCUUGCAGUUGAUACGGGCAGGCUAGAGUUCGGUAGGGGAGACUGGAAUUCCUGGUGUAGCGGUGAAAUGCGCAGAUAUCAGGAGGAACACCGGUGGCGAAGGCGGGUCUCUGGGCAACAACUGACGCUGAGGAGCGAAAGCGUGGGGAGCGAACAGG
Molecule: ribosomal RNA, 253 nt
Filed under: uncultured bacterium
Lineage: Bacteria
Description: partial 16S ribosomal RNA
Rfam family: Bacterial small subunit ribosomal RNA
Source: RNAcentral